UGCCUCAUAAGUCAAGACUUUGGCUACACCAUUUACUCUACAGCUGUUGCCUUUUACAUUCCAAUGUCUGUAAUGCUGUUCAUGUACUACAGAAUUUUUAAAGCAGCAAAGCAGAGUGCUGCAAAACACAAGUUUACAGCUUUUCCCCGUCCUGAAGAGAGUGAAGGAAUGAUCACAGCAAAUGGGGUUGUGAAAAUGCACAGAGAAACGGAAGAAUGCUCACAUUUCUCAAAGCUACUCAGAAAUGACAGGAAAAAUAUUUCCAUCUUUAAACGGGAACAAAAGGCUGCUACAACACUUGGAAUUAUUGUAGGAGCAUUCACCAUUUGCUGGUUACCUUUUUUCAUACUUUCAACAGCAAGACCUUUUAUCUGUGGAACUGAAUGCAGUUGCAUUCCUUUGUGGAUGGAGAGGACCUUUUUAUGGUUGGGAUAUGCAAACUCUUUGAUCAAUCCUUUUAUUUACGCUUUUUUUAAUAGAGAUCUGAGGACAACUUAUCGAAAUCUGCUACAAUGCAGAUACAGAAACAUCAACAGAAAGUUGUCUGCUGCAGGCAUGCAUGAGGCUUUGAAGCUUGCAGAAAGACCUGACCAUAUCCUUUCCAAGGAAAAAUAGACCAAGAGGGAUGUUGAACAAUCUUAUGAUGAAGAAAAUCCUGCUCUCGAGAAGAUCUUCUACAAGAGCACUAUCUCAGCAGGCUAUAUUCAUAAUCCAAGAUUAAAUCAUAUACUGUUCCCCUAAAGACAGAACAACAUUUAAAUCCUUAAAUUAUAUUUUACACAAGUGUACAUACCAAAUAAAUUAUUUUAUAGAUACUGUAUGUUAUUGCAAAUCAGAUAUUGCUGUGCGAUUAUUUUGUCUCUUUAAAUAACCAACAAAUAGAGGCUAAUACAAAAUAUUAGGAAAAUACUUUCCAAUGGCAUUAGACAGAUAGGAAGAG
Spea bombifrons (plains spadefoot toad) is the source of this 940-nucleotide long non-coding RNA. RefSeq lists it as uncharacterized. The record is from RefSeq and is a predicted model, not a curated record. The transcript is spliced from 3 exons. Lineage: Eukaryota; Metazoa; Chordata; Amphibia; Anura; Pelobatidae.